Molecule: ribosomal RNA, 336 nt
Filed under: Acroloxus lacustris
Lineage: Eukaryota; Metazoa; Mollusca; Gastropoda; Acroloxidae
Description: partial large subunit ribosomal RNA
Source: RNAcentral
AUUAUAAAUUGGCUUUUAAUUAGAGUCUGGAAUGAAUGGGAUUUUUAAAGUUAAGCUGUCAUAGUAAUAUUAGUUUUAACUUAUUUAUUUGGUGAAAAUACCAAAAUAUUUUUAAAAAGACGAGAAGACUCUAAGAAUUUAAAUUAUUUUUAUUGGGGCGACAAAAAGACAGUUAAACUCUAAUUUUUUGUUUUCUAAAACGAAAUUUAAAAAAAUAAAAUUACCUUAGGGAUAACAGCAUAAUUAGUUUUUUACUGUUUAUGACCUCGAUGUUGGACUAGAAUAUUUUUUAGUUAGUCGCUAAAAAAUUAUGUUCUGUUCGAACAAAUUAUUUCU